Molecule: non-coding RNA, 92 nt
Organism: Mycena latifolia
Lineage: Eukaryota; Fungi; Basidiomycota; Agaricomycetes; Agaricales; Mycenaceae
Source: the annotation of a GenBank genome assembly
UCGGGUGUGGUGUACAGAGCACCGCGCGUCUUCUUAGGUCGGAGUUCUUUGAAUGUAGCGCGCAGUCCGGGGUUCGACUCCCCGCACCCGAA